Molecule: ribosomal RNA, 463 nt
Filed under: uncultured bacterium
Lineage: Bacteria
Description: bacterial SSU rRNA
Rfam family: Bacterial small subunit ribosomal RNA
Source: RNAcentral
UUACGGGAGGCAGCAGUGGGGAAUUUUGGACAAUGGGGGCAACCCUGAUCCAGCAAUGCCGCGUGAGUGAAGAAGGCCUUCGGGUUGUAAAGCUCUUUUGUCAGGGAAGAAACGGUGAUUUCUAAUACAGAUUGCUAAUGACGGUACCUGAAGAAUAAGCACCGGCUAACUACGUGCCAGCAGCCGCGGUAAUACGUAGGGUGCAAGCGUUAAUCGGGAUUACUGGGCGUAAAGCGUGCGCAGGCGGUUAUAUAAGACAGAGGUGAAAUCCCCGGGCUCAACCUGGGAACUGCCUUUGUGACUGUAUGGCUAGAGUGUGUCAGAGGGGGGUAGAAUUCCACGUGUAGCAGUGAAAUGCGUAGAUAUGUGGAGGAAUACCGAUGGCGAAGGCAGCCCCCUGGGAUAACACUGACGCUCAUGCACGAAAGCGUGGGGAGCAAACAGGAUUAGAUACCCUGGUAGG